UUAGCUAAAAAAUAUUAAUCGGAAGAAGCAAAAGUGGAUGGCGUGGUGCCAGUAAGAUGGUAUUGAUAUGAUUUAGUCUCAAUUAAGUUACUCGCAGACAAAAAAUAAAACCUGUAAACAGUUUCUCUCGAUAUUUACUUGUUCAAGUGCCAGUGAAACGAACGAUAGAAAAAAAGAAGCAUUCAGUAGACUUGCAAUUUUUUUUAAAUAUAUUUUAAAAUGAUUUGAAUAA
Hydra vulgaris (swiftwater hydra) is the source of this 232-nucleotide long non-coding RNA. RefSeq lists it as uncharacterized. The record is from RefSeq and is a predicted model, not a curated record. Lineage: Eukaryota; Metazoa; Cnidaria; Hydrozoa; Anthoathecata; Hydridae.